This is a non-coding RNA of Araneus ventricosus, 116 nucleotides long. NCBI's taxonomy places the organism in Eukaryota, Metazoa, Arthropoda, Arachnida, Araneae, Araneidae. The record is from the annotation of a GenBank genome assembly.
AUGUAGUGUUCCCAGGUGGUACCAAGGCCCAUACCAUCCCAAGUACUGACUGCUCCCGAUGUUGCUUAACUGCGGUGAUCAGACGAGAACCGGUGCUUUCAGCAUAGUAUGGCCGU